GCCUCCGUAGCUCAGUGGUAGAGCAGCUGCCUUGUAAGCAGCAGGUCGAGGGUUCAAAUCCCUCCGGGGGCU
This 72-nucleotide transfer RNA is filed under the name Nitrosarchaeum sp. RNAcentral describes it as "tRNA-Thr". It matches the Rfam family "tRNA". Rfam says of the family: Transfer RNA (tRNA) molecules are approximately 80 nucleotides in length. Their secondary structure includes four short double-helical elements and three loops (D, anti-codon, and T loops). Lineage: Archaea; Thermoproteati; Nitrososphaerota; Nitrososphaeria; Nitrosopumilales; Nitrosopumilaceae. The record is from RNAcentral.